UUGAGCUGUCUUGGAGAUUCCUUUGCAAAUUUUCAUUGCCCAAGAGGGUCCUUCUAGAUGCUGAAAUGUUGAGAGGGAUAUGACCCUGGAGUUUAGCACCAUUUGAUUCCUCCGUUUCUCCUUUUUGAUUCCCAUUACUGACCGAAUCCAUUCUCUCACUCAAAAAUUGAGCUUUGUCAAUCAGUUUUGUAGAUAUGUCAUUGGAAUUGAAAUGUUAAUAAUAUGAAGGAGUACUCCAAUAUGCAAAAUCUCUAUGUUUAGUCCAAUAUUGAAACCUCUUGAUU
RNAcentral lists this unclassified non-coding RNA (284 nucleotides) under Hevea brasiliensis (rubber tree). The record is from RNAcentral. Lineage: Eukaryota; Viridiplantae; Streptophyta; Magnoliopsida; Malpighiales; Euphorbiaceae.